Molecule: long non-coding RNA, 3998 nt
Organism: Pseudopipra pipra
Lineage: Eukaryota; Metazoa; Chordata; Aves; Passeriformes; Pipridae
Exons: 2
Source: RefSeq, a predicted model, not a curated record
CCUAGCUGUGUGUAAAGAGAACAUCAAGGAACAGUGUAAAAAUCUCAGGGCAGUUAUUUUGAUUCUUGUGUUCAGUAAAGACAUGACGGCUGAAGUCGAUCAGGGCCUGAAUGCACUUAGGGGUUCUACAACUUCCCUCCUAUUCCAUUCUUGGAAGCUUGGCUGCCUGUACCCAAGGACAGCUACAGUAUGGUGAAGCGGUGUCACUUCGGGCCAGAGUUGGGAAAGAGCUGUGAGAGGCCUCCAUGGGGGCCUCCAUCCCUCACCUCGCAAGAUGCAUUCAGGUUUAGGCACUUGCUUCUGGCUGUUGCUUGAGAGGUGUCUCUGUUUUAUGAAUGUUUGCAGCUAGAUCCCAAAAUCCUCUUCUCAAAACUGAAGACAGCUAAAACACCCAACAGAUCCUUCUAUCUGCUUUUCAGACAAAUCUCUGAGUGCAACUGAGGGCUCAUCUCCACAUGAAUAGAGAAUUUCUCAACCUCUACCUAGUGGUUAACCAGAAUUCCUCCAAAUGAAGUUCAAAGCAUUUCUGUCAGUGGAUAAGAGUGUGCCAAGGCAUCAGGCUAGACACCAUACCUCUUGAAGUCAUGAGGGAGAGAGGAGACCAUGAAAACAAAAACUUCUAAGGUUUGCUUUCUGGAUAUGUUUUAUUCACGUCAUCCAAAACCAGACAUAAAGGGAAAGAAAACGAAGAUGUAUCAGGAAACAUGGAAGAGAACUGGCACAAGGGGUGGUUAUUUUUGGUGUUACAACAGAAUUCCUGCUACCGAUUUACACUUCGAAUUUACUCAUAUAAAUCCAAAGCAUUCAUGCAGCUCAUCUGCCGUGCACGCCAUGUGGCUGUGCUGUCAAUUCCGUCUACGGCAGGGAUUAGACUGGGACGCCUCCACAAGCAGCACUGAUCUCUCACUCACACAAAGCAAUAUGCAGCUUACUAUCAAUAGUCAAGCCAACCAUGUUUUACCUCUAUUUAUCACAGCACGGUUCAGCCAAGAAUUGCAGGUUUCAACAAAAAUGAAUAAUUUUACCAGUAAGCAACACAAACUUUAGAUGCCCUCCACCGGUCUCAAAAUAUCUCGUUUUCCUGGAUCGCGUCCAUAGCCUGUAUGUCAACAGUAGCUGUAGUCUAGCUGAAGAGACUUUUAGUCAGAUUCAGAGCAUAAAGUUGGGGUUUUAAUAUAGAUGUUUAUGCUGAACCUGCGAUUACCUCAUUUUCAUAUAAACUUGCGGCAUUCUGGGCGUAGUUCGGAGCCAGCUCCGAUCGCGUUCGUGGCACUGCGCUCCCUAACGGAGCCCUGGGGAUAUAAAUUCUAAAACCAGGGCAUACCCCGCGCGUCAAGAGACUUUGCUACGAAGCGCCUAGAAAAAUCCAGCGGGGCUGAUGGAAAAAUCCCGGCCCGGGCAGGCGGGGCUCGGCUUCCCACCCAGCUAAACAAACGGCUGAUAACGCCGCGGCGGGCCGGGAGCGCUGCCGCUCGGAGCGGGGCCGCGUCUGUCCCAAGGUCAGCUAUUUGAAGUACAAUAAACAGGAAGACACGGCGGCGGCGGCUCCGGCUCUGCCCCCGCCCCAGCCCCGGCGCUGCCCGGCGCCCCCCGCCCCGCCGUGCCCCGCCCGCCCCAGCGGGCGACACCUGGCGGCACCUCGGGGCGCUGCCGCCGCACCUGCCCGAGCCCGCGCCCACCGAGCCCCGGGUCCCGUUAAACGCCUCGGAGCUGCGCCCUUGGUAUUGCAAUAGAUCUGUCUUGGACUCGGGAGUUCUUGCUAGUCCGGAGCGUCCCAUGAGUUGCACUGGCUUCCCCCUGGCCUGCAACCUCAAACCGCGGGGGCUUUCUAAAUUACACCAGUUGUUUGUCUUUGUGACAGGGGAAGCCCUCCGUGAUACUGUGUGAACAUACGCUCCGACCCAAAUGUAAUUCUUUAUAGCAAGAAAAUUGCCUUUCUGGGCGAUCAGGAUAAGCAGAGUGUUUAAAUAUACUUCUUUCAAAGAACUCUGGUUAAUCUUCUGAAUAAAUCAUUUCGGAGAAUAACAGCAGUAACAAUCCAUUUUAGUAUCAAAAUAGCAAGAAUGUAUUUUAAACCAACUGUUUUUUCUGUCCCAGGAAAUGGCCAGCCUACCUCCUUUUUAAAAUACUAUUUUUAUAACACCCGGUGGCCUGGAUUCGAGAUGGAGUUAAUAUUUUUCUCCAUGACGCAGUAGGCAGAACAUGCUGAAACUUUAUGAACCCAGAAGUGUAUUCUCUAUGAUAAACAAAAACAAACUAAAAAAAAAAUCUCUUAAGAGCUCUGCAACUCAUAUGGCUUUUACCAUCUGGCACACAGUCCUGGCACACUGUAAAUCUUUGCAAGUGGUAUCUCCUUUACAGACUGUAAUGCAUAAAACCCAUAUGCCAGGGGCUCGUAGAGGCCAGCCCCUCAAGUUGCAGGCAUCACGUAGUGGUGUGAGAUGAAGACAAAACAUUUGUGAUAUUUCAAAUAAAAAAAAAAAAAUCACCUCCAUACCAUAACAGUAUGGACACCGACAGUGAGGCAACUUUCAGUCAUGAUUCCUUUCUUUAGAAAUGUCACCAAUCACACUCAACACAGCUGGGAGUUGAGCAAAGGCAAAACAGGAGAGGGGGAUUGAAUGCUGAGUGCUUUAAAGAUAAUUCCAGAGUUAUCUCUGGAAAAAAUUAAAACAACUCGCAUUAAGACAUUUAGUAAUACAAGAUACCAAGGUUACAUUUGAUGAAUACCAAUCCUAAUGACAAAUAUACUCCGUGUAAAUCUGAGCUCCAUGACUUUUGGCAAGGAUAUAAGCCAUCAGCUCAAAAGUCCUGGCACAGAAUAUCAACAUGCCCAUAAAUUUCUGCAGGCACAAAUACAUCUGUUAAAUUAUUCCUUCAUGCUUCCCUUCAAUAUAUAAAGUCAUAAGUGUUGACCACUUCAUCCCCUAGCUCUGCCAUAGGCCAUACCUGACCUGAGCAGCAUGAAGGGACUGGAGCCCUGAGGAAGCUCUGAACAGGUUCCCUAAAGCGGCGUGUCUCUUCUCCAGCAUCUAAAAUGACACUGAAAAGCGCAAGGACCUUAAAAACUUAGAUUGCUCUGAAUAAGGACUGUCCUCAUAGAUUACUACUAGAUCUAGCUCAUCUGCUCUCUAGACUGAGAAUCUUUUUGAUCUGCUAAAAUGAGGCUAAUGAAGAUAUGGGAUGUCUGCAUCUUCCCAGACCUUGUUUGCUUUCUCUGAGGAGUCAUCACCAUUUCUGACCUGAACUGGAGAAACAGUAGAACUGUAGUAAAUUAAUCACAAAUUAUUUUAUUGUUUACUCUAUUUAUGGGGGCAUUUUGCCCAAAUGUUGAGGUCACACAGCGGCUCUUUCUGACAGCACCACUGAUGAAGGAACAUCCUGUUAGACUGCUGCUGCUGUGUCUAGAUUAUCCUGGAAGGUGGAGGUUGAGCAAGGGGGCUUCUACACAAAGCAUCAGCCUAAUAUCUAUAUGGACCCAGAGGGCUGCACAACUUAAAGAGCAUGUUCAGGGUGAGGUAUACUAAGAAAAAAAAUAGUCUAACCUGGAAAAACAGUGUUUCUUCUCUAUUCAUACAUCCACUUAAAAUUUACAAUUAGUUAUAUCUUUAUUCUUAGAUAAUUAGAUAACGUGAUCUCUCCUUUGCAUAAAUGUAAAAUGCUUUUAGAAUGCCUACCAUAAUAACACCAGCAGCAACUUCCAUAGCCAUUCAUGGCCUUUUUCUCUGACUAAGGCCUGUACCAAAGGAAGUGGAAGGAAGCAUGUCUUCUUCAUGUCCCAUCCAGUGACAUUUAUACCAGUGUAUUCUCCACUGUUUGCAAUAUUCAAGUACAGAAACUCUGCCGAGAUUUUAGUACUGUUGUAAUAUUUUUAUUGAAAGAAUAAAAAGAUUUUUAUAUAGAUAAAGAGAUUUUUAAUUUGAUAAAACACUAAAAGUUGUCUGGUUGUAAAUGUAAUGAUUUGAAAAUAAUAAAAGAAUUUGAGUUUGGUUAUGGUA